CCUACGGGAGGCAGCAGUGAGGAAUAUUGGUCAAUGGGCGCGAGCCUGAACCAGCAAAGUCGCGUGAGGGAAGACGGUCCUAGGGGUUGUAAACCUCUUUUGCCGGGGAGCAACGGGCGCCACGUGUGGCGCCACUGAGAGUACCCGGAGAAACAGCAUCGGCUAACUCCGUGCCAGCAGACGCGGUAAUACGGAGGAUGCGAGCGUUAUCGGGAUUGAGUGGGGUAAAAGGGUGCGUAGGCGGAGCGGUAAGGCGGUGGGCAAAUUGGGGGGCUAAACCCUUUCCCGCUUUUGAAACUGGCUCUCUUGAGUGGAAGAGAGGUAUGCGGAAUGCGUGGUGUAGCGGUGAAAUGCAUAGAUAUCACGCAGAACCCCGAUUGCGAAGGCAGCAUGCCGGCUUCCUACUGACGCUGAAGCACGAAAGCGUGGGGAUCGAACAGGAUUAGAUACCCUUGUAGUC
Molecule: ribosomal RNA, 460 nt
Filed under: uncultured bacterium
Lineage: Bacteria
Description: partial 16S ribosomal RNA
Rfam family: Bacterial small subunit ribosomal RNA
Source: RNAcentral